AUUGAUUCAGCACUACAAAUUGAAUCAGCAAUACAAAAUCUUCCAACAAAGAAAAGCCCUUGACCUCAUGGCUUUAGUGGUGAAUUCUACCACACAUUUAAAGAACUAAUACUAAGUCUUGCAGAUUUAUCCAAAAAAUGAAGAGUCCACUUCCUAACUUAUACUAUGAGGCCAGCAUUCCUCUUAUACCAAAGAAAGACAGACUCCACAAGAAAACUAGAGACUGAUAUCCCUUAUGAAUAUUGAUAGAGAAAUUCUCAACAAGGUACUAGGAAACAAUUUGGCAGCAUAUCUAAAGGUUUAGGCGCCAUAAGCAAGUAGAAUUUAUGGUUCAACAUACGAAAAUCAAUCUGUGUAACAUACCACGUCAACAGAAUGAAAUGGGAAAAGCCCACAUGAACAUCUCGUUUGAUGCAGGAAAACCAUUUGACAAAAUUCAACACACUAAUAAUAAGACCACUCAACAAACUGGGAGUAGAAGGAAGCUACCUUAAUGUAAUAAAAGCCAUUUAUGAAAAGCACAGUGAACAUCAUACUCAAUGGUGAAAGACUAAAAGCAUUUCCUCUGAGAUCAAGAACAAAGCAAAAUUGUCCUUUAACACAUCUAUUCCAAGAUAGUACUAAAAGUUCUAGCCAGAGUACUUAGGCAAGAUAAGAAAAUCAAAUGCAUCCAAAUGGGAAAGGAGAAAGUAAAAUUACUGCUUUGCAUAUGACAUCUAAUAUAUAGAAAACCCUAAGCAGUUCAAAGAAAAAACUCAGAACUAAUAAAUCAAUUCAGCAAAGGAAUAGGAUGCAAAUCAACACAUAAAAAUCAGUUGAAUUUCUACACACUAACAAUGAACAAUUUGGAAAGGAAAUUGCAAAAACAAUUCCAUUUAAAAUUACAUUUUAAAACACUUAGUAAAUAAUGUAGUGAAAAGCAAAAGACUUGUACACUGAAAACUACAAAACAUUGCCAAAAGACAUUAAAGGAAACAUCAAUAAAUGGAAACAUCUUAUACUUGUGGAUUGGAAGGUGCUAUUGCUAAAUCAUCAUUACUACCCAAAGUGAUCUACAGAUUUAAUGUAAUUCCUGUCACACCCCCAGUGACUUUUUUUUUUUUUUGCAGAAAUAGAAAAACUUAUUCUAAAAUUUAUGUGAAACCUCAAGGGACCCUGAAGAGCCAAAAGAAUCUUGAAAAAUAAGAACAAAGUUAGAGGACUCACAUGUCCAGAUUUCAAGACUUACACUACAAAGCUACAGUGUUAUAUUGGUGAAAGGACAGGCUUAGA
This is a non-coding RNA of Vicugna pacos (alpaca), 1272 nucleotides long. The record is from RefSeq and is a predicted model, not a curated record. Lineage: Eukaryota; Metazoa; Chordata; Mammalia; Artiodactyla; Camelidae.